AGUAAUGCCUAGGAAAUUGCCUUGAUGUGGGGGAUAACCAUUGGAAACGAUGGCUAAUACCGCAUAAUGCCUACGGGCCAAAGAGGGGGACCUUCGGGCCUCUCGCGUCAAGAUAUGCCUAGGUGGGAUUAGCUAGUUGGUGAGGUAAUGGCUCACCAAGGCGACGAUCCCUAGCUGGUCUGAGAGGAUGAUCAGCCACACUGGAACUGAGACACGGUCCAG
This 222-nucleotide ribosomal RNA is filed under the name uncultured bacterium. RNAcentral describes it as "partial 16S ribosomal RNA". It matches the Rfam family "Bacterial small subunit ribosomal RNA", at positions 109 to 334 of the family's 1533-position model. The record is from RNAcentral.